Molecule: small nuclear RNA, 107 nt
Filed under: Prolemur simus (greater bamboo lemur)
Lineage: Eukaryota; Metazoa; Chordata; Mammalia; Primates; Lemuridae
Source: RNAcentral
AUUUUUACUUUAAAGAUUUCAACUACAGUGCUGGAAUAAUACAGAUAAGAUUAGCAUAGCCCCUGCACAAGGAUGACACAGAUAUUUGUGAAGUGUUCCAUACUUUU